CACGGGGGGGGGCGAGCGUUAUUCGACAUUACUGGGCGCAAAGGGUACGUAGCGUUCUUAAUUAACAUGGUUGAAAGGCUAGCUGCAAUGUUAGCAUACUGCUGUUAAUGUAGAAUAGAGACAUUGUCAAGUUAGUAGAAUUACUAAAGGAGGGGUAGAAUCCUGCGAUCUUAUUAAGAAUGCCAAUUGUGGAGACGAAUAGCUCGUCGAUGUCUGACGUUGAGGUACGGAGGUUUGGGAAUCAAACAGG
RNAcentral lists this ribosomal RNA (250 nucleotides) under uncultured bacterium. RNAcentral describes it as "partial 16S ribosomal RNA". It matches the Rfam family "Bacterial small subunit ribosomal RNA", at positions 524 to 776 of the family's 1533-position model. The record is from RNAcentral.